RNAcentral lists this long non-coding RNA (1298 nucleotides) under Daphnia pulicaria. RNAcentral's name for it is "uncharacterized LOC124311578, transcript variant X4". The record is from RNAcentral. Lineage: Eukaryota; Metazoa; Arthropoda; Branchiopoda; Diplostraca; Daphniidae.
GAUGAAUUCAUAAAAGAAGGAACAGGAAAGGAAACAGUAGCAUACAAGUAGCCUAUCAUCACUACCACCAACUCUUUUAUUAAAAAUCUUCAUUCUGCUGAAUGCAUCAUACAGUUAAUACAGCAGUUUUUGUUGAUCUUGGUAGGUCACUACCCCAGUGUGGACAUAUUGUUUUUCUGAACAUGUUUUUCAACAAAUAAUUCAUUGAUGUACAAGGAAAGCUAUGAAAAAUAUCAUCAUCUAGGCCAUGGGUAAUCUUCAGGUUUAUUGCAGCAGCUUAAGAGAAAAAUAUGAACAUAUGCAGGGCACAUACCAACAUGUGUUGUAUUUUUCUGAAUGUUAAACACAAGCAGUAGAUUCAACAUGCCAAAGUUAGUUGGAACUCAACUCACUGUACGAGUGUACACACUCUAACCCAGAUAACUGGUGCUUUUGCCUUUCAGCCAAAGGCAGGAAAAUUAUUCUUUUCUUCAGAAAAUUGGAAAGCUGCUGGAGUAAUCUGGUGUUCAUGCUCAUUUGAUUCAUUUCGUGCCAGUUAGUGAAAGCCGAAAGGCAUGUCGAAUUCAAUUGAGCCGUGCUGUCUCGAAGCAAGCAAUCCAGCCGUUGCGUUCAGUCAUUUGGAACAGGAAUCUAAUGGCUGUCAAUAGGUGGCUAUGAAUAAUGUCCACCAGGUGCGCGAGUGUCUUCAGGUGUGAAUAGCGGCCAUUUUUUUCCAAGACGCAGCAGAAAUGGGUUGUUGGUUGUGACGUACCUCGCGAUGAAAAUUAAAAGGUGAUUCAGCACGUAGAAACCAAUUUGCCAAAUCAUUCAACUCAGACUUGGAAGUGCCUGUACAUUUCCGAAAUGGCGUGCCUCGUGCGUCUCGCUGCCUGUUCUUUGGCGUACGUCUCAUCCCAUUCAACAGCAAAAAGUAUAACAAACACUUCUUUAACACUGUUGGUUACCUUGUUGCAGCCGAAUGGUGAAAGGUGUGACGAAGACAGAUUGAACCAUUGUAUGCAGCAUGUGGUUGCAGUUUAAUCCAGAAGUUGCUGUGCUGUUGUAGCUGAGCUGUUCCAUCUGAGUUCCUGACUUCAAAAUUUUUGUGUUGUCAUUUUCAUCCAUGCCAUGAAAUUGCUCUGUGCUAACUGCAGUAUACGACUGAGGCAACCUGAUCUAUAUCAGGUUUGACACAGUCGAGAACUGCUAGAUUAAACAAGCUUUCUGCGCCAAACAAAUAAUAACUUGCAUAUAACUUGCAUCAUGUUAUUAUCGCGGUAGAGAAAGCGACAGGCCCCCCCCCCUGGGGGCCACAGGAA